ACCAGACUCCUACGGGAGGCAGCAGUGGGGAAUAUUGCACAAUGGGGGAAACCCUGAUGCAGCGACGCCGCGUGAGUGAAGAAGUAUUUCGGUAUGUAAAGCUCUAUCAGCAGGAACGAGACAAGACGGUACCUGACUAAGAAGCCCCGGCUAACUACGUGCCAGCAGCCGCGGUAAUACGUAGGGGGCAAGCGUUAUCCGGAAUCACUGGGUGUAAAGGGAGCGUAGACGGCUGUGCAAGCCUGAAGUGAAAGGCGGGGGCCCAACCCCUGGACUGCUUUGGGAACUGUACGGCUGGAGUGCAGGAGAGGUAAGUGGAAUUCCUAGUGUAGCGGUGAAAUGCGUAGAUAUUAGGAGGAACACCAGUGGCGAAGGCGGCUUACUGGACUGUAACUGACGUUGAGGCUCGAAAGCGUGGGGAGCAAACAGGAUUAGAUACCCCGGUACGA
This 449-nucleotide ribosomal RNA is filed under the name uncultured bacterium. Its description in RNAcentral is "bacterial SSU rRNA". It matches the Rfam family "Bacterial small subunit ribosomal RNA", at positions 330 to 794 of the family's 1533-position model. The record is from RNAcentral.